RNAcentral lists this ribosomal RNA (473 nucleotides) under uncultured bacterium. RNAcentral describes it as "bacterial SSU rRNA". It matches the Rfam family "Bacterial small subunit ribosomal RNA", at positions 30 to 507 of the family's 1533-position model. The record is from RNAcentral.
AUUGAACGCUGGCGGCAGGCCUAAACACAUGCAAGUCGAGCGGGGUUUUCGGACCUAGCGGCGGACGGGUGAGUAAUGCGUAGGAAGCUACCCGAUAGAGGGGGAUACCAGUUGGAAACGACUGUUAAUACCGCAUAAUGUCUACGGACCAAAGUGUGGGACCUUCGGGCCACAUGCUAUCGGAUGCGCCUACGUGGGAUUAGCUAGUUGGUGGGGUAAAGGCUCACCAAGCCAACGAUCUGUAGCUGGUCUGAGAGGACGACCAGCCACACUGGAACUGAGACACGGUCCAGACUCCUACGGGAGGCAGCAGUGGGGAAUUUUGGACAAUGGACGCAAGUCUGAUCCAGCCAUUCCGCGUGCAGGAUGAAGGCCCUCGGGUUGUAAACUGCUUUUGUACGGAACGAAAAGGUCUCUAUUAAUACUAGGGGCUCAUGACGGUACCGUAAGAAUAAGCACCGGCUAACUACGUG